GGAAACCUUUGCCUGUGUUGUGAAUCGAUUAAACGUCGCUCCUCUUUUCAUUUUAUCUUUUUUAACUUUGAUAAUAUUGUAUCUGUGUCGGAAACUCUGAUAUUUCUCCUGUAAGUUUUUCAACAUUAAUGUCGAAUAUCUCAUAAUGACAAAAAAAAAAGAUAAUAGUCCCAUACCCUAGGGCUGGGUGUACACUUAUGUAAAAAGAACAGCUUUUAUUAGCAAUUAAAGCAAUAAUCUUUCCAUGCCAAAUUGCUUUAAAUUAAACUUUUAAAAAUAUGCUAAAUGGUAACCAGAUUUAGUCAUUUUUAACGUUCGCAUAAUCCGGGUUUUCUUUCUCUUUCAGUGCGUGAAUUUUAAAUACAUAAAAUGCUAUUUACUUGAAAAACAAAUAGCUAACAUACAUUUUUCACAAGUAAUCAACUAGCAUUGUUCUUUUAAUUAUACUAUAUUAACCCAAUGAAUCAC
This is a non-coding RNA of Pelobates cultripes (western spadefoot toad), 468 nucleotides long. Lineage: Eukaryota; Metazoa; Chordata; Amphibia; Anura; Pelobatidae. The record is from the annotation of a GenBank genome assembly.